GUGGGAAGAGAUAAGCUAAGCCUGAGGGCAGAAGACCUUGAAUACUAAGCCAAGGAAUUUGUAUUUUACUUGUUGAAUUUUUACAAUGCUGCAUCAAGCCUGUACCAGAAGUCAGUACAUCCAAAUACAAAGGCAUGUGGACGGUAUGCAGAGAGUUCUCACCAACUGGGAAUAACACUCCAUUGCUGGAUUAAUUCAGUGGACACAUGAGAAUGAAGAAGGUCGGAGGGAAUCACCCUGUUGUCUGGAACAUAACCACUGAUGGGACUUUUCUUGCCUCCAGAGCUGUGAGAUGCUGAUGAAAUUCUGUUGCUCGAGCACCCAGUUUGUGAUAGUUUACCUGCACUGAAACUGAGAACAGAGAUGUUCCACUGGAACGACAGCACAGCAAGGGAGGCAGAGCCGGACGACGCUGCAGUUAGUGUGAGUCUUUCUGGAAUGAAAAUCCUCAUUGCUGUCUACAGAUCUUGUCCUCUUUUGGCUCCAGUUCUUCAUCACCUUGCGUGGAUCAACAACUCAGCUUCAAAUUGGUCAUCUCAGCUUCAGCAGCCACCGCUCCACCCACUGCUCUCACCCAGCCUGCCUCCCACUUAUGCCUCCAACAGCCCCAAGGCCACCCAUAUUCACCAGACUCUGCCUCCCGGUUUCACAGGUGAAAACCACGGUAGCAGGAUGCCCAAACUCCACUGAACUUUGAGUUUUGUCUAAUUUGUGCCAGUC
Molecule: long non-coding RNA, 720 nt
Organism: Bubalus bubalis (water buffalo)
Lineage: Eukaryota; Metazoa; Chordata; Mammalia; Artiodactyla; Bovidae
Exons: 4
Source: RefSeq, a predicted model, not a curated record